UCGAGAAUCUUCGGCAAUGGGCGCAAGCCUGACCGAGCGACACCGCGUGCGGGAUGAAGGCCUUCGGGUUGUAAACCGCUGUCGUAGGGGAGGAAGGUCUGGUGUAUAGCCAGGCUUGACCGAUCCUAGGAGGAAGGGCCGGCUAAUCUCGUGCCAGCAGCCGCGGUAAUACGAGAGGCCCAAACGUUAUUCGGAUUUACUGGGCUUAAAGAGUUCGUAGGCGGCGUGGAAAGUAGGGUGUGAAAGCCCUCGGCUCAACCGAGGAAUUGCGCUCUAAACUACCGUGCUUGAGGAACCUAGAGGUGAGCAGAACUGAUGGUGGAGCGGUGAAAUGCGUUGAUAUCAUCAGGAAUACCGGAGGCGAAGGCGGCUCACUGGGGGUUAUCCGACGCUGAGGAACGAAAGCCAGGGGAGCAAACGGGAUUAGAUACCCCGGUAGUCCUGGCCGUAAACGAUGAGCACUGGACCGGAGGCCUGCACAGGUUUCCGGCGUAGCGAAAGUGGAAGUG
RNAcentral lists this ribosomal RNA (509 nucleotides) under uncultured Planctomycetota bacterium. RNAcentral's name for it is "bacterial SSU rRNA". It matches the Rfam family "Bacterial small subunit ribosomal RNA", at positions 355 to 866 of the family's 1533-position model. The record is from RNAcentral. Lineage: Bacteria; Pseudomonadati; Planctomycetota.